This 497-nucleotide ribosomal RNA is filed under the name uncultured bacterium. Its description in RNAcentral is "partial 16S ribosomal RNA". It matches the Rfam family "Bacterial small subunit ribosomal RNA", at positions 28 to 507 of the family's 1533-position model. The record is from RNAcentral.
GACGAACGCUGGCGGCGUGCCUAAUACAUGCAAGUUGAGCGAUGAAGAUUGGUGCUUGCACCCAUUUGAAGAGCAGCGAACGGGUGAGUAACGCGUGGGGAAUCUGCCUUUGAGCGGGGGACAACAUUUGGAAACGAAUGCUAAUACCGCAUAACAACUUUAAACAUAAGUUUUAAGUUUGAAAGAUGCAAUUGCAUCACUCAAAGAUGAUCCCGCGUUGUAUUAGCUAGUUGGUGAGGUAAAGGCUCACCAAGGCGAUGAUACAUAGCCGACCUGAGAGGGUGAUCGGCCACAUUGGGACUGAGACACGGCCCAAACUCCUACGGGAGGCAGCAGUAGGGAAUCUUCGGCAAUGGACGAAAGUCUGACCGAGCAACGCCGCGUGAGUGAAGAAGGGUUUCGGAUCGUAAAACUCUGUUGGUAGAGAAGAACGUUGGUGAGAGUGGAAAGCUCAUCAAGUGACGGUAACUACCCAGAAAGGGACGGCUAACUACGUG